AUAGUAUUUUUCUACGUUGUUACCUUCUUGCUGGACAUUCCCUUUGCUUAUUGUUAUGCAUUUCAUCUUUCCAGAUGUCAAAUAUUUUGGUGGUUCAGUUUUCAAGAGAAAGCAGUUCUGGGCUUUUACAAUUGCAGAGAGAGUUUAGUUUGAUAUCUUUUAGAUUUAUCUUCUUUGUAGACAUUCCCUGUUCUUAUCGUUAUAGUACUUCUCAAUUUCUAGUGUCUGAGCAAUGGCUGGUGCUCAAUCAACCUUCAGUGGAAGCCAGUUUCAGUUUGAUGCUUGGCUAUCUCUACUUUGUUUCAUCAGUUCCUUCUUUUACAUGGAUAUUGUGUUUGACAUCACCCUACGAGAGAAGAUACGAUCAUACAAAAUAAAUUUGAUUAUGUUAAACGCGGAGAUUGAGGUGGCUAUCUUUGUCUGGUUGUUGGACAGGAUUAGGAACCAAUCUUUAAUACUGGCCUUGACUUAUUUCACUUGGAGCUUGAGUCUCUUUGCGCAUGCUGAUCAAUAUACUCUUCAUUGUUCAGUCUCUCUGCCAUUACCAAGAUGAAGAUGAAGUGAGUUGUUGCCACUGUGAUUAGCACUAGUAUUGAGGUUUGAGAUUGUUGCCACUGUGAUUAGCACUAGUAUUGAGGUUUGAGAUCAUUUGAGAUGUGAUUAGUAGCGCUGUUGAAUCAGGAUAUCAAGAGCCAGUAAGACCUUCGUAGUUGCAUUGAAAGGGAGAGUUUAUGUACUGGUGAUUAUGAGAGAUACCUUUUUCCUGCACCAGGUUAGCAAAAGGUGUGUUGUAGAAAGAAAGUAGUUGUGGCUGCGAGGACGGUCCCUGUUGGAGUUGACUGUGGUUGAUGUGGCUUGGUAGACUUGAUACACAAGGGGGCCUCCUCUAUCACACCAAAAUCCAGAGGAUCCAUCUAUAUCGUGCCAGAAAUGAUUGUCAUUCCUUUGAUUGGCAAUGUGAACCUUGUUAGCCCUCGGCUACGUGCCAUCAGUAUUGACACCAAUCGCCUUGGCCCACUCCAGCCUCGAUUCAGCAAGGCCGCAACAUCAUGAGUAUUUAAGGCUCAAACCCUGAGGCAUGGACAGCAUGACCGAAUCAUACUCUGAUAGGCUUUAACGCUUAUCAAGAAAGUAUCUCACAAUUUGUGUAAAGAAGAAUAACGAAGCCCUAGUUGCUCCAACUAUGGGCUUCUUGAGUUUCAAGAAAAAAUACUUUAUUUCUUUAUUCUUGAAUGAUUUUUUUGACUCUCUAAUGGAUUCUUUAUAUAGAA
Long non-coding RNA from Salvia splendens (bonfire salvia), 1271 nucleotides. RefSeq lists it as uncharacterized. The record is from RefSeq and is a predicted model, not a curated record. NCBI's taxonomy places the organism in Eukaryota, Viridiplantae, Streptophyta, Magnoliopsida, Lamiales, Lamiaceae. The transcript is spliced from 2 exons.